AGAUGGAUGAACAAGAGAGCCCUGCCGGCAGCUGUGGAAUGAAGGCCGUGCAGAGAGGGCAGGCUUUCCGAGAAGGAUAGAGAGAGAAACAUUUGUUUGGAUUCUGAUGACUGAUAUAUGUGGAUGAAUGGGACGGUUUUGUUGAAAAUAUUACUCGGCAAAAAGUGUUUUGAUCAUCUUUCUUCUCUCCCAACAGUCCUCCCCCUCCAAUUUCACUCUCUCUCUCUCUCUCUCUCUCUCUCUUCCACACUCUUCCUGCUUUGAUCUCUCUCUUCUCACUGAUCUUUUCCUCUCUCCCCCAUCAAAUUUGAAAUGUUUGGCAGGUUUUGUUCAGAAUACCGUGCAGAUGUGCUUGUGUUUUUCAAGCUCCAAAUUCGCAAUGUUACCAACAGAGAGCCAAAGGCUAAAAUUUCAGAGACACGUCAUUUAAAACAUUAUUCAUUUAUAAUCUUUGGCUUCCUCUCAGAAAUCCAAAGAAAGAAUGUUAGGUCUGCCGCUCGUGAUCAUCUGAAUCUUGUACUACUUUCAAGUAUAUAUAGGCCUAACUUACUUGUGGUUUAAUUCCCUUGACUUUAAAGCCAGAGGCUCGUAUUGACUUUUACCAAGCUUCUGGAAACUUAUGUCCACAUGACUAACAUUGAUUUUACUACAUUUUUAAGGUACAGGGGAGAGCAGCUGAUGUGGCCUCCUGCUGAUGCAGUGCUGAUCAGUGAUCAGAUGAUGAGGACUGGGCGCUGUUGGGUUUCUUACAGAGCACUUCCCUGAGCAGCACUGACAUAAAUCAGGCCCACAGAGCUGCACUGCCCCACAGGAAUAUCCUCUCCCCUCUGAACACUUACUGUAUGUUUGUGUGUGUUUAUGAAGGAGAGACAGAGUGAAUAAAGAUGGGAGAGAGAGGAAUGGAGAAGAAUACAGUGAGAGAUAUCAAGAGAGACAGCCACUUAAGCAGAGACUAAACUAUUUAACCGUUUCACCCAGCUUUGCUCAACCUGUCAGGCCUGGCUGACUCUGAUUGAGUGUGUAUGUGCACUUUACGGUAUCAGAGACACAGCAGAUUAAGUAAUAGCCUACAAUAAUGCAUUCUGUAAAAUAUUAUAAAUAACAAAAAACUUCAGUGGAUCUAAAGUUGGACUGAAUCAAUUUCAGAUUUCAGGCUUGGAGAGCAACACCUAUGGAUCUUGUUUAGUUUUGGUUUCAUUCUUUACCAGUGUUGCUUCUCUCAACUCUGUCCUCUCUUUCACCAAUCCAUCCAUUCUCCAAGGCCUUGCACUCUCAGAUCUGCUUCUCCUCAUUCUGCCUCUCUCUCUCUCUCUUUCUCUCCCAGGAUCUUUAGGUUGAUUUAUUGCUUCUUGUUGGAAAGGUUGGCGUUUUAAUAACUCAAGUCCUCCACACCAGAACGAGAAAAAAAAAAAAAAGCUGGAAAAAACUUCUGU
This is a long non-coding RNA of Megalobrama amblycephala (Wuchang bream), 1433 nucleotides long. RefSeq lists it as uncharacterized. The transcript has 3 exons. NCBI's taxonomy places the organism in Eukaryota, Metazoa, Chordata, Actinopteri, Cypriniformes, Xenocyprididae. The record is from RefSeq and is a predicted model, not a curated record.